Molecule: ribosomal RNA, 301 nt
Filed under: uncultured bacterium
Lineage: Bacteria
Description: partial 16S ribosomal RNA
Rfam family: Bacterial small subunit ribosomal RNA
Source: RNAcentral
CAGUAGCCGCGGUAAUACGAAGGGUGCAAGCGUUAAUCGGAAUUACUGGGCGUAAAGCGUGCGUAGGCGGUGAGUUAAGUCUGCUGUGAAAUCCCCGGGCUCAGCCUGGGAACUGCGCUUGUGACUGCACAGCUAGAGUAUGGCAGAGGGGGGUGGAAUUCCACGUGUAGCAGUGAAAUGCGUAGAGAUGUGGAGGAACACCGAUGGCGAAGGCAGCCCCCUGGGCCAAUACUGACGCUCAUGCACGAAAGCGUGGGGAGCAAACAGGAUUAGAUACCCGUGUAGUCCCUGUCUCUUAUAA